UACGAAGGGGGCUAGCGUUGCUCGGAAUCACUGGGCGUAAAGCGCACGUAGGCGGAUUGCUAAGUCAGGGGUGAAAUCCUGGAGCUCAACUCCAGAACUGCCUUUGAUACUGGCGAUCUCGAGUCCGGGAGAGGUGAGUGGAACUGCGAGUGUAGAGGUGAAAUGCGUAGAGAUCGGGAGGAACACCAGUGGCGAAGGCGGCUACCUGGACCAGCACUGACACUGAGGCACGAAAGCGUGGGGAGCAAACAGG
RNAcentral lists this ribosomal RNA (253 nucleotides) under uncultured bacterium. RNAcentral describes it as "partial 16S ribosomal RNA". It matches the Rfam family "Bacterial small subunit ribosomal RNA", at positions 524 to 776 of the family's 1533-position model. The record is from RNAcentral.